AGAGUUUGAUCMUGGCUCAGAUUGAACGCUGGCGGCAUGCCUAACACAUGCAAGUCGCGCGGGAUGUAGCAAUACAUCUAGCGGCGGACGGGUGAGGAAUACAUAGGAAUCUGCCUCAGAGCGGGGGAUAGCCCAGGGAAACUUGGAGUAAUACCGCAUGAUGUCGAAAGACCAAAGCUGGGGACCGCAAGGCCUAGCACUCUGAGAGGAGCCUAUGUCUGAUUAGCUAGUUGGUAGGGUAACGGCCUACCAAGGCGACGAUCAGUAACUGGUCUGAGAGGACGAUCAGUCACACCGGAACUGAGACACGGUCCGGACUCCUACGGGAGGCAGCAGUGGGGAAUAUUGGACAAUGGGCGCAAGCCUGAUCCAGCAAUGCCGCGUGUGUGAAGAAGGCCUUCGGGUUGUAAAGCACUUUUAUCAGGAACGAAAUACYACGGGUUAAUAACCURUGSGGCUGACGGUACCUGAGGAAUAAGCACCGGCUAACUUCGUGCCAGCAGCCGCGGUAAUA
This 514-nucleotide ribosomal RNA is filed under the name bacterium enrichment culture clone Cont16_3131. RNAcentral describes it as "bacterial SSU rRNA". It matches the Rfam family "Bacterial small subunit ribosomal RNA", at positions 8 to 525 of the family's 1533-position model. The record is from RNAcentral.